This 75-nucleotide ribosomal RNA is filed under the name Bacillus paralicheniformis. RNAcentral's name for it is "partial 23S ribosomal RNA". The record is from RNAcentral. Lineage: Bacteria; Bacillati; Bacillota; Bacilli; Caryophanales; Bacillaceae.
GGUUGAUAGGUCUGAGGUGGAAGUGUGGCGACACAUGGAGCUGACAGAUACUAAUCGAUCGAGGACUUAACCUAA